RNAcentral lists this long non-coding RNA (2404 nucleotides) under Lactuca sativa (garden lettuce). Its description in RNAcentral is "long non-coding RNA (LSAT_LNC004423)". The record is from RNAcentral. Lineage: Eukaryota; Viridiplantae; Streptophyta; Magnoliopsida; Asterales; Asteraceae.
UACAGUAGAGUUGGUGAAUUUUUAACAUGUUUGGUCCACAUAUUUGCUAUAUGUCACAAUUGGUCCAAUUGUUCAUCGAAAUUGCAAUUUGGCCCUGCUCAAUGUCACCGCUUUUUUUCCCUACAUUUCAUCUCCUUGGUUUGAGAGCCCUCCUGUACAUGUGGUGGCGUUGGGAUAUCCACUACGUGUUUUCCGUUCAACCUUCUCUCUUCUCUACUCACCGAUUCUCCUAUAAUCCACCGCUCCUUUCCUCUAAUCAUUCAACUCCACCGCCAUCGCAUAUGAGUUCCAGAAAUAGUGGGGAUCGAUUUCGCCUUCCGCCUCCUUCUUCCCGAACCCCUUAGUCGCACGCUCCCGUAAAUAUUUUAGAGAAGCAAUAUGUAACUUCCGCUCAUGGCUUCUAAUUCUGUGGGUCCGGCUUCUGAUUGUUUUCAAGCAACUUCAGUUUUAUUUUUCUCAUCUAAAUUCAUGUUAUUUAUCUUUUUUCCUUUUCUGCUUCAAGGCUUCUGAUUGCUUGGUUUCAUAAAUUUCUUCUAUUUUUCCAUCAUCUGAACAAUCAUGGAGCAGAAAUCGACUAAACGCUCUUCACUCAAGGUAAAUUUCUUGACCUCACCAGAGAAAUCCCUAAUGUUAUUAGGAGUUUAAUCAAUUUUUUUAUUCUUCAAUUGCUUUUGGUUGUCUGGUAAGUGCAGGGGCGACAGAUACAUGGUUAGCUCUAAUGGUUGAAGUAUUCUUUUUGCCUAAUAUAUUGAAAUUUCCUUUCCAUUUCUUUUUGUAAAUUGAAAAACAUUUCGAAAUCUCUAUCUAUUAACUUAUCAUUCACUUUGAAACUCAAAAAGAUAAAAUCGAUCAACUUAUCAAUUUUGCUUUUUUUUUUUUAUUACCAGUUGCCCAUAGUGAAAAUAUCACUACAGUUGAAGAGAUUCAUACAUACAGUUUGAAACAAUUAAGUUCUUUCAUAGAAGUGGAGGAGCCUGUGGCAAUGGACUCUUCUAAUACAUCAAAAUCAUGUCAAUAUUGGGUUGUCAGUGGUUCUAUUUCAGGUUUUUAUGUGAUAAUAUCAUUAUCCAAGAUUCGGGUGAGAAUUAUAUAUCAUGUUUAUUUUAAAAGUUUGAGAAGCUACAAGUUGAUGCUUAUAUGACAUAUAUUAUUAUGUCUCCAGAUGUUGCUUUGAAUUUCUAAAAUUUAUGGUUUCUUCACCAAAGAAAGAACUGUCACUGUGCAGCUAAGGAAAUUACAUAUAUAUGGUACAAGAUCGUAUUUUUUGUUUCUUAUUGUAGUUCACAAGUUUAUUACCACAAAAUCCAUUGACAAAAUUCAGUAAAGUGGAUUUAUCUCAUAUCAGUUGUGUGCUUAUUUAUUUGUUUCCAUUCAUUUUUUCAUUCUGUAUGUUUUGUUUCUAAUAAGUACUUAUGAAUUUAUUCUUAUUCUUUAUUUUUUGUCUUCCUAAACAACUUUUAUAUAUUUUAAUCAAGCAUGUUUGUUUUUCUAUUGUGAUCAUGCUUACACACUUACCAAAUUUUCAUAGGUUUUCUAACUGAUAUAUGGUGACUGUAUCUUUAUAAAUUAUAGAUGGAAUGUUGUGAAUGUAAAAUAUAGGUAAUUUGAUCUAAUUAAAAAAAAAAGAUUUAGUAGCUAAGAAAUAGUAUUUGUACAUAAAAGUUACAGAUGUCAAAGUGAAUAAUAGAUGAAGUCAACUUGAAUAACGUCUUAAAAUGAAUAAAAUGGGAAUGGAAUGGAUACUUUUUUUAACCAAAUGAAUAUGGAUCCGAUUUCUUUGCUUCUAAUUAUAAUAUUUAAAUUUGUAUUUUAUUUUUCUUGACAAAAGCAUGUAUGUUUUAAGAAAAUGUAAAAUUUGAUUUCUUUUUUCAUUAAAACAUGCAUAUGAACUUACUAAUUGUUUGAAUUCAACGACUGAUUUUGCAACCUAUAAUGCAAAUCAUACAUUUUUUAUGAACGCCUGAGAUCCUUAACUUUCACAGCUGAGUCAUUUCAUUUUUAUGCAUUGAGUACAAAAAAUACGUCCAUGUAUGUCUUACCAGAUUAAGUCAUGUCUUAUAAAUAAAUUUAACAUAUUCUUUUUGUAAGUUCUAGUAGAAAUACUAAAUGUAUUUGGGUUUUUUUCUCUUGGUGAAUGUAGGUUCCACUUCCACAUUCUAUGGAAAUACUACUUGCGAAAUUAAACAAAGUAGUUUGCUGCAUCUUCAUAGUUCACAAAGUAGUUUGCUGCAUCUUCAUAGUUCCAAAGUAUUUGAGUUACUCAUAGAGUAGUUUCCAUCUUGAUUAUGUCAAUUUCUUCUUACAAGAUUGUCAUUAUCAUGUUUUUAUUAUUAUUAUUAUUAUUAUUAUUAUUAUUUUUUUUUUUUAAUUUUUUUUUAACUCAAAAGUUUUAUAAAUAUGCCAC